AAUCAAGAUACUAAGUUAAAUUUGAACUUCUGAUGAACAAUAUUUUUUUAGUAUAAGGAUGCUACAUGCAUUAUUUGGGACAUACUUAUACAAAAAAAUUAUUUGUUGUUUAUCUGAACUUCAGAUUUCACUGGCAUUCUGUAAUUU
MicroRNA precursor from Dasypus novemcinctus (nine-banded armadillo), 147 nucleotides. The record is from Ensembl. Lineage: Eukaryota; Metazoa; Chordata; Mammalia; Cingulata; Dasypodidae.